UCCACGCCGUAAACGAUGGGUACUAGCUAUACUGGGUGUUGACCCCCGGUGUGGCGUAGCUAACGCGUUAAGUACCCCGCCUGGGGAGUACGGCCGCAAGGCUAAAACUCAAAGGAAUUGACGGGGGCCCGCACAAGCGGUGGAGCAUGUGGUUUAAUUCGACGCAACGCGCAGAACCUUACCCGGUCUUGACAUCCCAGGAACUCUCCUGAAAGGGAGAGGUGCCCUUCGGG
Molecule: ribosomal RNA, 233 nt
Filed under: uncultured bacterium
Lineage: Bacteria
Description: partial 16S ribosomal RNA
Rfam family: Bacterial small subunit ribosomal RNA
Source: RNAcentral